This 198-nucleotide ribosomal RNA is filed under the name uncultured bacterium. RNAcentral's name for it is "partial 16S ribosomal RNA". It matches the Rfam family "Bacterial small subunit ribosomal RNA", at positions 335 to 525 of the family's 1533-position model. The record is from RNAcentral.
ACUCCUACGGGAGGCAGCAGUAGGGAAUCUUCCGCAAUGGACGAAAGUCUGACGGAGCAACGCCGCGUGAGCGAUGAAGGCCUUCGGGUCGUAAAGCUCUGUUGUUAGGGAAGAACAAGUAUCGGAGUAACUGCCGGUACCUUGACGGUACCUAACCAGAAAGCCACGGCUAACUACGUGCCAGCAGCCGCGGUAAUA